This 791-nucleotide long non-coding RNA is filed under the name Equus caballus (horse). Its description in RNAcentral is "lncRNA (ENSECAG00000059739.1)". Lineage: Eukaryota; Metazoa; Chordata; Mammalia; Perissodactyla; Equidae. The record is from RNAcentral.
CAAAUAUAGCUGAGGCAGCAAGCAGAGUGUGAGGAAUUCUUUGUGAGGUGGAGUUCUCUAUGUGUUAAAGGGGUGAGGGGAAGCUAUAAGGGACUGAACCAGCAAGCGGCAAAGGGCAGGCCCAGAGCCAUUAUUGCUGGAGCAUGAAGUCCAUCACGUCAUUAGGAAAGCCCCCCUAGGCCUCUACUCCGUAAUAAGGCCAGGACUCUCCUCACCAUCUGCACAUCAGAGCUGGCUGAGGCCUUCGUUUGUUUACAGAUUGAUCCUAAUCAGAUCCUGGCUUGGAAGGAUGCUCUUCUCACUUUAGCAAAGACAGCUUCUACUUAUACUUUAGGACAUUGGCUUUCCACCUGCCAGUCCCCACAAAGAGAAAAUACCAGAGCGCAUCCAACAUAAGUAAAGAAAAGAGCAAGUCUUGGCUCCUGCACUUAAGAAGCUCUGAAUCUCGGGGUGAAGAGACGAACAUACCACUGGGGCACUAGUUUAGCUUCCCAUCCCUGGACUCAGACUGAAGGAGCACCUCUCAUCUAGCUGGGCUACUCCCACAGCAGAGAGAAGAAACACAGAAGACUGAACCAAGCCACACGGGACAGUUAAAUCUUGGGCUUGGAUGUGGCAUAUGUCACUGCUCCUCACCUUCUAUUGGCUAAAGCAAGUCUCGUGGCCAGCCCAGGCUGUGGGAUGGGGAAAUCUCCUCCUCCAAAGAGUGUGUAAUGAACAUGGGAUGUUUAACACUGAUACUGGGGAGGAGUUGAUAACUGGGAAUGGGGUUAUUAUGUGCUAAACUGUCC